AACACUUGUAUGUGCUUCUGUUUAACUUGUGAACAGAGACUUAUAGACAGCAAAAAAGAAAUCCUCCUCUGAACCCAGAGCUUACUGUCCACCACGAGUUUUGAUACAUAUAAGAAUAAG
Heterocephalus glaber (naked mole-rat) is the source of this 120-nucleotide small nucleolar RNA. The record is from Ensembl. NCBI's taxonomy places the organism in Eukaryota, Metazoa, Chordata, Mammalia, Rodentia, Bathyergidae.